This 68-nucleotide transfer RNA is filed under the name Marmota monax (woodchuck). RNAcentral describes it as "tRNA.Ala". Lineage: Eukaryota; Metazoa; Chordata; Mammalia; Rodentia; Sciuridae. The record is from RNAcentral.
GGAUUGUGGCUCAGUGGUAAAGCACUUGCCUAGCAUGUGCGAGGCCCUGGGUUCAAUCCUCAGCACCA